This 234-nucleotide long non-coding RNA is filed under the name Panax ginseng (ginseng). Its description in RNAcentral is "long non-coding RNA (PGIN_LNC003663)". Lineage: Eukaryota; Viridiplantae; Streptophyta; Magnoliopsida; Apiales; Araliaceae. The record is from RNAcentral.
UAUUUUAUAUGGCUUGUGUAUUUUGUGAACCAGAUAGACAUAUAUUGUUUCACCGUAUGAGUUAGAAUAGGGGCUUGUGCUUAAAUUCAGUAUGAUUGCAAUUUCACAUAGACAUAUAGUGAUUUUGGUUAUAUUGAUGAUUACAUGGAGUCUAUCACUUGUGGAUGUUGUGUAAGUAGGUCAUAGUACAUUGAAAAAUGGCUAUGACUCUAUUAGUGCUCUUGACUACUUUCC